AUGGCAGGUACAGAGGGAUGCUACCGGGCGACCGGAUGCGGAUCUCGAAAGCCUGCCCCAGUUCGGACUGGAGUCUGCAACCCGACUCCACGAAGUUGGAUUCGCUAGUAGUCGCGCAUCAGCCAUGGCGCGGUGAAUACGUUCCCGGGCCUUGUACACACCGCCCGUCAAGCCAUGGGAGCCGGGGGCGCCUGAAGUCCGGGACCGCGAGGACCGGCCUAGGGCGAAACUGGUAACUGGGGCUAAGUCGUAACAAGGUAGC
This 262-nucleotide ribosomal RNA is filed under the name uncultured bacterium. RNAcentral's name for it is "partial 16S ribosomal RNA". It matches the Rfam family "Bacterial small subunit ribosomal RNA", at positions 1230 to 1500 of the family's 1533-position model. The record is from RNAcentral.